UAGUUUGUAAGGCUUUUUCCAAGCCCAUAUGGGAAGAUUUAAAUGAAUAUUAACUAAUUAAAAAAAAAAAAAAAAAAAAAAAAAAAAAAAAAAAAAAUUAUGUCUAAAAAAAAAAAAAAAAAAACAGAGCUACAGCGACAGAACUUCACUAAGAGUCUGAUUGAGUUGAUGGGAAAGCUUGUUCGUUGCUUAUAUAAAACAUAUGAAUACAAAACAAUCUCUACUCUUCUUUGUAUCUCUCUACAUUUGUUAGAUUUUAGGGACGAAAUCUGGAGAUGCAUGUCAUAAUAUUCAUGUCUCUUUAAAUUUGUUUUACUCUGUUUUUAUUUUACUCAAAUGAUCAUAUUCAUGUCUCUUUAACUUAAACACCAAAUGAAUCAUAUGUGUUGUAACCAAAUGAAUCUACAACAAUUAUGUCAUAAUAUUCAUGUCUCUUUAAUUUGCAACAAUUAUUAAAUUUUAUAUAAUUAUAAAUUUUAUUUUUAUAUUAAUAUUUCUUUUUCUAAGAACUACAUGUUAAGAGCCUACCAUUAAUCACACAAAAAUAUUAACUCA
RNAcentral lists this long non-coding RNA (555 nucleotides) under Arabidopsis lyrata. RNAcentral describes it as "long non-coding RNA (ALYR_LNC001737)". The record is from RNAcentral. Lineage: Eukaryota; Viridiplantae; Streptophyta; Magnoliopsida; Brassicales; Brassicaceae.